CUUCUGAAACCAGAGCAUCCUGUUGUUUGUGGCACUGCCUACCCUCUGGAGAUUCAGGACUUGCUUUAAUUCUAUGACUUGGUCUCCACAUUUACAGACUUGCUAAUAAUGAUGCACGCUUUGCAGAGAAUAUGGAACACUGACUGCCUUUGGUCUGCCAAUUUAUUUCCUGGGCUGUUUGGAGUCAAUCACAAUCUCUCUUAGAGCACUGACUCUUCACUCUCUUUACUUAGAAUGGGAUGCGCAGAUGGUUUGGUAGAUCUGGGUGGUCUCUCCUUACCUUUCUGCAUUCUUCUAGACUAGAUUGUGUUUGAGACCUUUUCUAGAACAUACCUUCCCUGCAAAAGUAGACAGCCAAGUGGAUCGCAGCACUCCAAAGAGACAGGCUGCAGCCAUUGAUCUUAGGCUCCUUUCCUUGCCUCUUCAGUAGUUCUCCCAGGGCAUAUCUCUAUGCUGAGACAGGUUGAAUUUCAACCUAGGCUACUGUUGCAUAUGAGGUGGGUUUAGGUUCUGGCUAUACUCUUGGGUCCCAAUAGGCAAGUUCCUUCUUGUCUUCGAGUUAGAUGACCCACUCCUACUACGGUUUUGUUUUUUAGAGUCCUCCAGUUUCUCUCUGGAGAAGUUUAGAAAAGAGAAGGGUUUGGGGGACCUGUUUCUAUCAAAGGAUCUCAGCUACCUUGGAGGGAGUGAUAUGUGUAUGAGGAUCCCCCAGGUGAGAUGUAUCUAAUGCCAGAUGGAGCUCCUUUGUGAUUCUGUUCCCUAGACUUAUCUCCUCCCCCCUUAUCUUUCCUUUUUCUAUUCCUCCUUUUAUUCUUCCUCCUCUUCUUCUUCCUUCUCCUUCUUUUUCUUCUUUUC
Molecule: long non-coding RNA, 855 nt
Filed under: Monodelphis domestica (gray short-tailed opossum)
Lineage: Eukaryota; Metazoa; Chordata; Mammalia; Didelphimorphia; Didelphidae
Description: lncRNA (ENSMODG00000045097.1)
Source: RNAcentral